RNAcentral lists this ribosomal RNA (235 nucleotides) under uncultured Candidatus Saccharibacteria bacterium. RNAcentral describes it as "partial 16S ribosomal RNA". It matches the Rfam family "Bacterial small subunit ribosomal RNA", at positions 584 to 818 of the family's 1533-position model. Lineage: Bacteria; Candidatus Saccharimonadota. The record is from RNAcentral.
AAAGCGAGUAGUGAAAGGUCCCGGCUCAACCGGGGAUACAUUAUUCGAACUCACAAGCUAGAGCAUAGUAGAGGUACCUGGAAUUCCUAGUGUAGGAGUGAAAUCCGUAGAUAUUAGGAGGAACACCGAUGGCGUAAGCAGGGUACUGGGCUAUUGCUGACACUAAGGCACGAAAGCGUGGGGAGCGAACGGGAUUAGAUACCCCGGUAGUCCACGCCGUAAACUAUGGAUGCUA